This 30-nucleotide non-coding RNA is filed under the name Homo sapiens (human). The record is from RNAcentral. Lineage: Eukaryota; Metazoa; Chordata; Mammalia; Primates; Hominidae.
UGACCUGAUCCAUUUCUGACCUGGGCCAGU